RNAcentral lists this long non-coding RNA (588 nucleotides) under Olea europaea subsp. europaea. The record is from RNAcentral. Lineage: Eukaryota; Viridiplantae; Streptophyta; Magnoliopsida; Lamiales; Oleaceae.
UUUCCUUAUUUUUCAACCACACAUUUCCCAUCAAUUUACUAUUUUAAAAUGUAUUUUUACAUUAAAAUGGGUCAUAUGAAAAUUCUAAUACUACUAAUUUUAAUCAUUCCCACAAAAAAAAAAAAAAGUAAAAAAAAUGAUGAUAUUGUAGUGGCUAUUGUAUAUAGCUUUAUGAUCAUAAACCAGUCUGCUAUUAAAAAUUAAUCUGUCAACAUCAUUAAAGAAGAAAAAAAAAGUUCCACUUCUGUUUGUUAUAGUCUUCAUAACUGAUUUUUAUAUAUUUAUAAGUUAAAUCCACAAUAAUCACUUUCCAAACAUGCUGUCCAGUACACUGAAAGCAGAAGUUUCUUGUGUCUUUUUAGGUUUGUGGAAAAAUGUUAAAAGUAGGUUCCAUUUUCACUGACCUGACAGUGGGUUGGAAAUUCAUCAGGUUGACGUUGGCAAUAACUUAUAAUAAUGAUUUUAAAGAUAAAUGUGUUGUUCUGUAGUGUCACCUACGAUUGCAUACUGCACAAGAAGUUUCUGAAGUUGAUCAUGAAUUGAAUUUGUAACAGUGGUUUUUCGGAUCGGCCUGAGUCGAAUUAAACA